GGUGACGAGCGGCGGACGGGUGAGUAAUGUCGGGAAACUGCCUGAUGGAGGGGGAUAACUACUGGAAACGGUAGCUAAUACCGCAUAACGUCGCAAGACCAAAGAGGGGGACCCUCGGGCCUCUUGCCAUCAGAUGUGCCCAGAUGGGAUUAGCUAGUAGUGGGGUAACGGCUCACCUAGGCGACGAUCCCUAGCUGGUCUGAGAGGAUGACCAGCCACACUGGAACUGAGACACGGUCCAGACUCCUACGGGAGGCAGCAGUGGGGAAUAUUGCACAAUGGGCGCAAGCCUGAUGCAGCCAUGCCGCGUGUAUGAAGAAGGCCUUCGGGUUGUAAAGUACUUUCAGCGGGGAGGAAGGUGUUGUGGUUAAUAACCACAGCAAUUGACGUUACCCGCAGAAGAAGCACCGGCUAACUCCGUGCCAGCAGCCGCGGUAAUACGGAGGGUGCAAGGCGUAUCGGAAUUACUGGGCGUAAGCGCACGCAGGCGGUCUGUCAAGUCCGGAAUUGUUGAAAUUCCCCCGGGGGCUUCAACCCUGGGGAACUUGGUUUCGAAAACUGGGCAGGGGCUAAAGUNCUUGGUACAAGGGGGGGUAAAAU
RNAcentral lists this ribosomal RNA (600 nucleotides) under uncultured bacterium. RNAcentral describes it as "bacterial SSU rRNA". It matches the Rfam family "Bacterial small subunit ribosomal RNA", at positions 87 to 687 of the family's 1533-position model. The record is from RNAcentral.